AGCAGUAGCCGCGGUAAUACGUAGGUGGCAAGCGUUGUCCGGAAUUAUUGGGCGUAAAGGGCUCGCAGGCGGUUUCUUAAGUCUGAUGUGAAAGCCCCCGGCUCAACCGGGGAGGGUCAUUGGAAACUGGGAAACUUGAGUGCAGAAGAGGAGAGUGGAAUUCCACGUGUAGCGGUGAAAUGCGUAGAGAUGUGGAGGAACACCAGUGGCGAAGGCGGCUUUUUGGCCUGUAACUGACACUGAGGCGCGAAAGCGUGGGGAGCAAACAGGAUUAGAUACCCCCGUAGUCCCUGUCUCUUAUAU
This 303-nucleotide ribosomal RNA is filed under the name uncultured bacterium. Its description in RNAcentral is "partial 16S ribosomal RNA". It matches the Rfam family "Bacterial small subunit ribosomal RNA", at positions 507 to 809 of the family's 1533-position model. The record is from RNAcentral.